UACGAAGGGGGCUAGCGUUGUUCGGAAUUACUGGGCGUAAAGCGCGCGUAGGCGGUGAUCUUUGUCAGAGGUGAAAGCCCGGGGCUCAACUCCGGAAUUGCCUUUGAAACGGGAUCGCUAGAGUCCGGGAGAGGAUGGCGGAAUUCCUAGUGUAGAGGUGAAAUUCGUAGAUAUUAGGAAGAACACCGGUGGCGAAGGCGGCCAUCUGGCUCGGUACUGACGCUCAGGCGCGAAAGCGUGGGGAGCAAACAGG
Molecule: ribosomal RNA, 253 nt
Filed under: uncultured bacterium
Lineage: Bacteria
Description: partial 16S ribosomal RNA
Rfam family: Bacterial small subunit ribosomal RNA
Source: RNAcentral